Mesocricetus auratus (golden hamster) is the source of this 1922-nucleotide long non-coding RNA. RefSeq lists it as uncharacterized. NCBI's taxonomy places the organism in Eukaryota, Metazoa, Chordata, Mammalia, Rodentia, Cricetidae. The transcript is spliced from 3 exons. The record is from RefSeq and is a predicted model, not a curated record.
CCCGCCAGGCGUGAUUUCCCUCCAGUCUUUGAACUCCCAAGCGUUCACUUCGGAACCCUCUGAUUCACUCUUCUCUGCGUUCCAGCUCCCAAUCGCUGUCUCUCCCAGCAUAACCACCCACAGUCGGGCCCCUCCACACCCACCCCGUCCAAACCGCCCCUCAUCCUCUUUUCCCCCUGCCCUUUUCCUAACGUACCAAGCCCCCACCUCUCCUCUCCACACUUAGCUCCUCUCCAUCCGUGUUCCACAACCCCUCGCUCUGCCAGAGACACUCCACUGUGGGGAUCCCACUCUGGACCCGCCCCCACCUCUCCUUCCUUGUCCACCCCUUUUCCAUUCCACCCUGACCCCGUGGCCUCUCUUAACUCCCUGUGCAGGUUCCUGCGGAUGAAUAAUUAAGCCUCUGACAAGUAAAUAUGCUGUAGCUCCAUCACACCCACGGAGAAACGACGAGAGAGACGUGCGCAGGGACCACGGACAGGUGGAAGGCGGUACAGCGGGCAAUCUGGUCCACAGGGCAUCUACCGUAUGUGUGUAUUCUACUUCACAAUGAUAAAAAGAAGUUGAUAAAGCAAUUAUCGUUGAGGAGCUCUGAGCUGACUGGAGAAAGUCUACGAAGUCUGUACCAUCAUCAUCUGGCCGAUCAGCCUGCUUUCUUAUAGAACCCAGCACCACCAGCCCAGGGAUAGCACCGCUCGCAAUGGGCUCUUCCAAGUCAAUCACUAAUUAAGAAAAUGCCUUACCAUGGGCCUAGGAGAGCUGGCCCUGCCCUUGCCUGAGGUGAGCAGUCCCAGUGGUCCAGACCAACCAGUUCAGAUACCACUUAGACCUACAUUCCGGGCCCAUCUUAGCAUCUACCCCAUCUAUGACCUGCUGGAGCUCGUGAAGGGACUGGUCCUGAGGAACAAUAACCACAGGAUCUCCACGACUUGGGCCAACAGCAGGAUAUCUGAGAAGAGUUUCCGUGGGGGGGGGGGGGGGUCAGUGAUGAUGGUUUGCCAGAAGCCUUGAACCAGACCAAUGACUGACCAAAUGAACAUUUUGAGUGUGUGGCUGAUUGGAUGAAAGUGUAUACUGAGGAUCCCGAUGUUACUGGGCUGAAUUAAGAGGUGUAGGAAAGACAGAUGAGGGAGGUUUUGUUUUUGUUUUUGUUUUUUCCAAGACAGGGUUUCUUUGUAACUUUGAAGCCUGGCCUGGAACUCUCUCUGUAGACCAGGGUGGGCCUGAACUCAGAAAUACACCUGCUUCUGCCUCCCAAGUGCUGGGAUUAAAGGCGUGUGCCACCACUGCCCUGCUAUACAAUAUGUUUUGGUGUUAUUGUCCCCUACUUCUUCCCCUAACCUCUCCCAGAUGCACCUAUACUUCCUUACCUCCCCCAAAUUUGUGUCUAAAAAGAAAACAAAAAACCUCAUUUAGUCUGCCUCGGGUUGCCAUGCACCCUUGGGUGUGUGGCCUUCUGCUAGAUCAUGGUAGACCUACUAGGGGCCACGCCUUUAAGGAAAUGGACUCUCCAUUUCCUUGAAGCUCUCAGCUGUUCUGCUACGGAUGGGGAUUUGUGCCCACCCCCACCCCAUGCUGCAGUUUUGUCUGACUGGAAGUUGUCCAGGUUUUGCGCCUGUCUUCACAAUUGCUGUGAGUUCCUAUGUGUCACUACCUCUAAACAAGCAAACAGAGCAACAUGGCUUCAGUGUAGACAUCCAUCACCGCUGGCUCUUAGGAUCUUUUGUCCCUUCUUUCACCAUGUUCUCUCACCCUUGACAGAAGUGGGCAUGUUAUAGACGUGUCAUUUCGGGAAGAGCAGUCUCUGUUCUCUGCCUGUUGCCAGAUGAGGGACUCCACGUUGAUUGCCAUCUGUUGAUGGGGACGUCUUCUAUAUAUAUGUUUCCCUUAUUGGUUGAUGAAUAAAAUACUGUGGUCAAUGA